This 260-nucleotide ribosomal RNA is filed under the name uncultured soil bacterium. Its description in RNAcentral is "partial 16S ribosomal RNA". It matches the Rfam family "Bacterial small subunit ribosomal RNA", at positions 26 to 287 of the family's 1533-position model. The record is from RNAcentral.
AGGACGAACGCUGGCGGCGUGCCUAACACAUGCAAGUCGAACGGGACCAGGGGCAACUCUGGUUCAGUGGCGGACGGGUGCGUAACACGUGAGGAACAUGACCUUCGGCGGGGGAUAGCCGGCCCAACGGCCGGGUAAUACCGCGUACGACCACUUGGGGACAUCCUCGGGUGGUGAAAGCAGCAAUGCGCCGAUGAAGUGCCUCGCGGCCUAUCAGCUAGUUGGUGAGGUAACGGCUCCCCAAGGCGACGACGGGUAGC